AAUGCAAGAAUAGACACCUAAAUCUCAAAACUUCUGGAUAAGAGAAGGAAUUAAUAACAUUCUACAUCAAAUGAGUUUUUGUUUCAUCACAAUCUGCAUUCCAUCAUCCUUAUAUUUAUUUAUUGUUUUGUUUUUCGGCAAACAUCCAGACACUUGAAUUUGAUAAUAUUCGAACACUUUCUACCCUGUUUCUGAAAUUAUUCAAGAACAGAGCUGUUUAUUCCCAUUCUUUGAGACUAAGAGUUGCUGCUCUGAUUCAGCAAAGUUCAAACCAUAAUUGUCGCAAAGUAUGUUAGGAAGUUGUUCUCUGACUUGGUUGCCAGGAAAAAACAGGAAAUGAGCUCUGAGGUUAUGACAGUUGCUUUGCUGUUAAGUCCCUCUGCCCGCAUCUUCUCCUCUCACCCUGAGAGUUCCUUCUUCCUCCCAUGUUUCAAACACCAGGAGUCCUUAACUCCAGGGCCUUCACCUCAAGUACAGCUCC
RNAcentral lists this long non-coding RNA (481 nucleotides) under Bos taurus (domestic cattle). RNAcentral's name for it is "long non-coding RNA NONBTAT002960". The record is from RNAcentral. Lineage: Eukaryota; Metazoa; Chordata; Mammalia; Artiodactyla; Bovidae.